AUAAUAAUUAGUCUUUUAAAUGGAGGCUGGAAUGAAUGAUUGGACGAGGUAAAUUCUGUCUCAUUAAAAUUAAAAUUUAAAUUUAAUUUUUAAGUUAAAAAGCUUAAAUAUUAUUAAAGGACGAGAAGACCCUAUAGAGCUUUAUAAUAUACUUAUGAAUAAAUUUUAAUUUUAUUUUAUUAAUUAAAUAUUAUUUUGUUGGGGUGAUAGGAAAAUUUAUUUAACUUUUUUAAUUUUAUUACAUUUAUUUAUGAGUUUUUGAUCCUAAAUUUUAGAUUAUUAGAUUAAGUUACCUUAGGGAUAACAGCGUAAUUUUUUUUUAGAGUUCAUAUUAAUAAAAAAGAUUGC
This 348-nucleotide ribosomal RNA is filed under the name Spinarge affinis. RNAcentral describes it as "partial large subunit ribosomal RNA". RNAcentral also lists the same sequence under 2 other names. Lineage: Eukaryota; Metazoa; Arthropoda; Insecta; Hymenoptera; Argidae. The record is from RNAcentral.